Non-coding RNA from Xylaria telfairii, 104 nucleotides. Lineage: Eukaryota; Fungi; Ascomycota; Sordariomycetes; Xylariales; Xylariaceae. The record is from the annotation of a GenBank genome assembly.
GGCCUCGUGGCCUAAUGGCAUGGCGUCAGAUUUCGGUUCAUCGUGAUAGAGAAACACGAGAGCUUAUCCUCUGAAGAUUGUCGGUUCGAAUCCGGCCGAGGUCG